RNAcentral lists this ribosomal RNA (402 nucleotides) under uncultured bacterium. RNAcentral describes it as "bacterial SSU rRNA". It matches the Rfam family "Bacterial small subunit ribosomal RNA", at positions 355 to 774 of the family's 1533-position model. The record is from RNAcentral.
UGGGGAAUAUUGGACAAUGGGCGAAAGCCUGAUCCAGCCAUGCCGCGUGAGUGAUGAAGGCCCUAGGGUUGUAAAGCUCUUUCACCGGUGAAGAUAAUGACGGUAACCGGAGAAGAAGCCCCGGCUAACUUCGUGCCAGCAGCCGCGGUAAUACGAAGGGGGCUAGCGUUGUUCGGAAUUACUGGGCGUAAAGCGCACGUAGGCGGAUACUUAAGUUAGGGGUGAAAUCCCGAGGCUCAACCUCGGAACUGCCUUUAAUACUGGGUAUCUCGAGUCCGAGAGAGGUGAGUGGAAUUCCGAGUGUAGAGGUGAAAUUCGUAGAUAUUCGGAGGAACACCAGUGGCGAAGGCGGCUCACUGGCUCGGUACUGACGCUGAGGUGCGAAAGCGUUGGGAGCAAACA